This 515-nucleotide ribosomal RNA is filed under the name uncultured bacterium. RNAcentral's name for it is "partial 16S ribosomal RNA". It matches the Rfam family "Bacterial small subunit ribosomal RNA", at positions 28 to 523 of the family's 1533-position model. The record is from RNAcentral.
GAUGAACGCUGGCGGCGUGCCUAAUACAUGCAAGUCGAGCGAAUGGAUUAAGAGCUUGCUCUUAUGAAGUUAGCGGCGGACGGGUGAGUAACACGUGGGUAACCUGCCCAUAAGACUGGGAUAACUCCGGGAAACCGGGGCUAAUACCGGAUAACAUUUUGAACCGCAUGGUUCGAAAUUGAAAGGCGGCUUCGGCUGUCACUUAUGGAUGGACCCGCGUCGCAUUAGCUAGUUGGUGAGGUAACGGCUCACCAAGGCAACGAUGCGUAGCCGACCGGAGAGGGUGAUCGGCAACCCUGGGACUGAGACACGGCCCAGACUCCUACGGGAGGCAGCAGUAGGGAAUCUUCCGCAAUGGACGAAAGUCUGACGGAGCAACGCCGCGUGAGUGAUGAAGGCUUUCGGGUCGUAAAACUCUGUUGUUAGGGAAGAACAAGUGCUAGUUGAAUAAGCUGACACCUUGACGGUACCUAACCAGAAAGCCACGGCUAACUACGUGCCAGCAGCCGCCGUAA